RNAcentral lists this ribosomal RNA (312 nucleotides) under uncultured bacterium. RNAcentral's name for it is "bacterial SSU rRNA". It matches the Rfam family "Bacterial small subunit ribosomal RNA", at positions 28 to 334 of the family's 1533-position model. The record is from RNAcentral.
GAUGAACGCUAGCGGCAGGCUUAAUACAUGCAAGUCGUGGGGCAGCGCAGUGUAGCAAUACAUGGGCGGCGACCGGCAAACGGGUGCGGAACACGUACACAACCUUCCUACAAGUGGGGAAUAGCCCAGAGAAAUUUGGAUUAAUACCCCGUAACAUAUAAAGAUGGCAUCAUUUUUAUAUUAUAGCUACGGCGCUUGUUGAUGGGUGUGCGGCUGAUUAGGUAGUUGGCGGGGUAAUGGCCCACCAAGCCUGCGAUCAGUAGCUGAUGUGAGAGCAUGAUCAGCCCACACGGACACUGAGACACGGGCCCG